ACUCCAGCCUGGGCGACAGAGCAAGACCCUGUCUAAAAAAAUAAAUAAAAUAGUAAAAAGGCUAAGCUUGUACCACAGAGUCUUCAAGAUCCCAGAUCCUAUCUAUCUCAUGCUCCGUCAUAUACAGCGCUGGCCCUCGGGUCAGGGUGGUGUCAUCACUCCACUGCCCAGCCAGAGGGAAGAGGCAUCCAUAUCCCGGGUCCAUUUAGCUGUAAGAGAAGCUGGAAAAUGGCCGUGAGUUGGGCUCGUGUCCAGUUAGACCUAACUCAUCAGGGUGCGCAGCUCCAGUCCUCUCUUUCGGCAAGGAGAAAGCAUUCGUAUCACUUCUUGCUUCUCAAGCCCUACUGUUUCAGCGAUUCUCAUUGGAGAAGAAUCAGCAGUCGAAAAAACAGCGGGCCAAGCGCAGUCGUGACGUGGCGUUUAGAGAGCGGAAGUUGUCAGAUUUCACCGGGCCGUAAAGCGCGCUGGCUGUGUCAUCUUCCGGUUAGCGACAACGGCUCUGACCGUCCGGCAAUCCGCGUGGUGCCGGCGCUGGCCUUCCUGCAGGGGGACUCUACCGGAGCUUUGCCAAUUCCGUUUGUUUCCCUGUUGUCGCCCGCUUCACCCUGGAUCAUGUUCAAGAAGUUUGAUGAAAAGGAAAGUGUGUCCAACUGCAUCCAGUUGAAAACGUCAGUUAUUAAGGGCAUUAAGAGCCAACUGGUAGAGCAAUUUCCAGGUAUUGAACCAUGGCUUAAUCAAAUCAUGCCUAAGAAAGAUCCUGUCAAAAUAGUCCGAUGCCACGAACAUACAGAAAUCCUUACCGGGCUGACAGGUGGGAGGGAUAGCCCCACCCCAGGGAGUGGACUUACCUGGCCUCUCUGCUCAGAGAUCAUCAAUUAUGAAUUUGACACCAAGGACCUGGUGUGCCUGGGCCUGAGCAGCAUCGUUGGCGUCUGGUACCUGCUGAGGAAGCACUGGAUUGCCAACAACCUUUUUGGCCUGGCCUUCUCCCUUAAUGGAGUAGAGCUCCUGCACCUCAACAAUGUCAGCACUGGCUGCAUCCUGCUGGGCGGACUCUUCAUCUACGAUGUCUUCUGGGUAUUUGGCACCAAUGUGAUGGUGACAGUGGCCAAGUCCUUUGAGGCACCAAUAAAACUGGUGUUUCCCCAGGAUCUGCUGGAGAAAGGCCUCGAAGCAAACAACUUUGCCAUGCUGGGACUUGGAGAUGUCGUCAUUCCAGGGAUCUUCAUUGCCUUGCUGCUGCGCUUUGACAUCAGCUUGAAGAAGAAUACCCACACCUACUUCUACACCAGCUUUGCAGCCUACAUCUUUGGCCUGGGCCUUACCAUCUUCAUCAUGCACAUCUUCAAGCAUGCUCAGCCUGCCCUCCUAUACCUGGUCCCCGCCUGCAUCGGUUUUCCUGUCCUGGUGGCGCUGGCCAAGGGAGAAGUGACAGAGAUGUUCAGCUACGAGUCCUCGGCGGAAAUCCUGCCUCAUACCCCGAGGCUCACCCACUUCCCCACAGUCUCGGGCUCCCCAGCCAGCCUGGCCGACUCCAUGCAACAGAAGCUAGCUGGCCCUCGCCGCCGGCGCCCGCAGAAUCCCAGCGCCAUGUAAUGCCCAGCGGGUGCCCACCUGCCCGCUUCCCCCUACUGCCCCGAGGCCCAAGUUAUGAGGAGUCAAAUCCUAAGGAUCCAGCGGCAGUGACAGAAUCCAAAGGAACAGAGGCAUCAGCAUCAAAGGGGCUGGAGAAGAAAGAGAAAUGAUGCGGCUGGUGCCCGAGCCUUUCAGGGCCAGACCAGACAGAUGGGGGCUGGGCCCACACAGGCGUGCAUGGGCAGAGGGCACAGGAGGCUGAGGGCAGCUCCAGGACAGGGCAGGGGGCAGCAGGAUACCUCCAGCCAGGCCUCUGUGGCCUCUGUUUCCCUCUCCUUCUCCUGGCCCUCCUCUGCUCCUCCCCACACCCUGCAGGCAAAAGAAACCCCCAGCUUCCCCCCUCCCCCGGAGCCAAGUGGGAAAAGUGGGUGUGAUUUUUAGAUUUUGUAUUGUGGACUGAUUUUGCCUCACAUUAAAAACUCAUCCCAUGGCCAGGGCGAGCCACUGUGCUCCCGGAAGGUUCUCUGCGUAAGCACCCAGUGUCUUGCCGUAGGUUUUCUAGGUCUCACCUGCCCACCCAGAAUCUUUUCUGCAAGCCCCUUGAGGGUGCCCACCCCACAGUGCCUGGCCAGCCCUGCACCCCAAAAACACCUUUUAGCCAGUAGAGGGGGCCCACGAGCCUUCUCUCUCACCAGCUGUCACUUUUCUCACCACCUUCCUGGAAACACUUGGGGGCAGCAAGGGUGCUGGCAGAUGAGAGUCCCCCACUCACCGUGGUGAGAGCAGUGCGGAGUACCUAGGGCUGACCUGACUCACAAGGGAAGCAGUAACUGUAGAACCUGCCAACCUCCCUGGUCCCUGUGUCCAUAUGGCUUCGUCUGGUGAGGGCUUGGAGUCUAGGUUACCCUGAAGAUCAAGACUUUAUCUCUCCCAUUCUGCGCAUUCCUGGGUUUCUUCCCAAAAUUGUUGUGGGGCCAGUCACAGCACAAGGCCAGGACAGGACCUCUAGAGAGGCUGGAGUGAGGAAGGAUUGAGCCUAGUGAUUGUCAGAGGCUUUCUGGGGCCUAAGAGCUGAAAUCUUAGGGCCCAGGUUUCCCUAAAGUUUGCUGAAGACAGCAGCCCUGGCCAGCAGGACACCGACCCCACACCACCCCAAACCAGGCAAACAGUGGCCACAACCCUCAUCCACGCACCUGGUAUGAGGUCACUGAGUGGGGAAACAGAAGAGGGUGGCCACUGGACUGACGGACCCAGGGCUCUUCUUCACCCAAAGCUUCAGGUUCAAAGGCUGAAAAUAACAGUGGCUUCCAGUUUGGAAGUGACCGAAGGACAAUCAUGACCGGAGACUCAGGAGCGUGAUUGUAGUACCCUCACUAGGUAUUAACAUGUACUAAGUACCUUGAUAGAGGAUUUCACUUCCUUCUGA
This is an RNA transcript of Rhinopithecus roxellana (golden snub-nosed monkey), 3001 nucleotides long. It is a transcript of the gene named histocompatibility minor 13, with no coding region annotated. The record is from RefSeq and is a predicted model, not a curated record. The transcript has 10 exons. Lineage: Eukaryota; Metazoa; Chordata; Mammalia; Primates; Cercopithecidae.